AGAGUUUGAUCCUGGCUCAGAACGAACGCUGGCGGCAUGCCUAACACAUGCAAGUCGAACGAGACCUUCGGGUCUAGUGGCGCACGGGUGCGUAACGCGUGGGAAUCUGCCCUUCGGUUCGGAAUAACAGUUGGAAACUUGAGCUAAUACCGAAUGAUGUCUUCGGACCAAAGAUUUAUCGCCGAAGGAUGAGCCCGCGUCGGAUUAGCUAGUUGGUGAGGUAAGAGCUCACCAAGGCGACGAUCCGUAGCUGGUCUGAGAGGAUGAUCAGCCACACUGGGACUGAGACACGGCCCAGACUCCUACUGGAGGCUGCAGUGGGGAAUAUUGGACAAUGGGCGAAAUU
RNAcentral lists this ribosomal RNA (346 nucleotides) under uncultured bacterium. RNAcentral describes it as "bacterial SSU rRNA". It matches the Rfam family "Bacterial small subunit ribosomal RNA", at positions 8 to 382 of the family's 1533-position model. The record is from RNAcentral.